CCUACGGGAGGCAGCAGUGGGGAAUAUUGCACAAUGGGGGAAACCCUGAUGCAGCGACGCCGCGUGAGUGAAGAAGUAAUUCGUUAUGUAAAGCUCUAUCAGCAGGGAAGAAAAUGACGGUACCUGAGUAAGAAGCCCCGGCUAACUACGUGCCAGCAGCCGCGGUAAUACGUAGGGGGCAAGCGUUAUCCGGAUUUACUGGGUGUAAAGGGAGCGUAGACGGCAGUGCAAGUCUGGAGUGAAAGGCGGGGGCUCAACCCCGGAACUGCUCUGGAAACUGUGAAGCUGGAGUGCAGGAGAGGUAAGCGGAAUUCCUGUUGUAGCGGUGACAUGCGUCGAUAUCAGGAGGAACCCCGUCGUCGAAGGCGGCUUACUGGACUGUACCUGACGUUGCGGCUCG
This 400-nucleotide ribosomal RNA is filed under the name uncultured bacterium. RNAcentral's name for it is "partial 16S ribosomal RNA". It matches the Rfam family "Bacterial small subunit ribosomal RNA", at positions 338 to 755 of the family's 1533-position model. The record is from RNAcentral.